RNAcentral lists this transfer RNA (60 nucleotides) under Anaerobacillus sp. HL2. Its description in RNAcentral is "tRNA-Lys". It matches the Rfam family "tRNA", at positions 9 to 63 of the family's 71-position model. Rfam says of the family: Transfer RNA (tRNA) molecules are approximately 80 nucleotides in length. Their secondary structure includes four short double-helical elements and three loops (D, anti-codon, and T loops). The record is from RNAcentral. Lineage: Bacteria; Bacillati; Bacillota; Bacilli; Caryophanales; Bacillaceae.
AGCUCAGUCGGUAGAGCAUCUGACUUUUAAUCAGAGUGGGUCGAAGGUUCGAAUCCUUCC